UAGGGAAUCUUCCGCAAUGGGCGAAAGCUUGACGGAGCAACGCCGCGUGAGUGAUGAAGGUCUUCGGAUCGUAAAACUCUGUUAUUAGGGAAGAACAAAUGUGUAAGUAACUAUGCACGUCUUGACGGUACCUAAUCAGAAAGCCACGGCUAACUACGUGCCAGCAGCCGCGGUAAUACGUAGGUGGCAAGCGUUAUCCGGAAUUAUUGGGCGUAAAGCGCGCGUAGGCGGUUUUUUAAGUCUGAUGUGAAAGCCCACGGCUCAACCGUGGAGGGUCAUUGGAAACUGGAAAACUUGAGUGCAGAAGAGGAAAGUGGAAUUCCAUGUGUAGCGGUGAAAUGCGCAGAGAUAUGGAGGAACACCAGUGGCGAAGGCGACUUUCUGGUCUGUAACUGACGCUGAUGUGCGAAAGCGUGGGGAUCAAGCAGG
This 429-nucleotide ribosomal RNA is filed under the name Actinomycetes bacterium. Its description in RNAcentral is "Actinobacteria bacterium partial 16S ribosomal RNA". It matches the Rfam family "Bacterial small subunit ribosomal RNA", at positions 355 to 776 of the family's 1533-position model. Lineage: Bacteria; Bacillati; Actinomycetota; Actinomycetes. The record is from RNAcentral.